Molecule: ribosomal RNA, 839 nt
Filed under: uncultured crenarchaeote
Lineage: Archaea; Thermoproteati; Thermoproteota
Description: bacterial SSU rRNA
Rfam family: Archaeal small subunit ribosomal RNA
Source: RNAcentral
GGAUAAGCCAUGCGAGUUGAAUGGGAAACCUAAAAAUCCCAUGGCAAACUGCUCAGUAACACAUGAUCAACUUACCCUAUAGAGGAAAAUAACCUCGGGAAACUGAGGAUAAUGUUCCAUAGUUGAAUCGGCUUGGAAAAGUUUUUCAAUUAAAGGGAUAAGGAAAAUGGUUCUUAUCUGCUAUAGGAUAGGAUCGUGCUCGAUUAUGGUUGUUGGUGAGGUAAAGGCUCACCAAGCCGAUAAUCGAUAGGGGCCGUGAGAGCGGGAGCCCCGAGAUGGGUACUGAGACAACGACCCAGGCCUUACGAGGCGCAGCAGGCGCGAAACCUCCGCAAUACACGAAAGUGUGACGGGGUUACCCAAAGUGUUCUAUUUAGAACUGUGGUAGGUGAGUAAUGUCCCCUACUAGAAAGGAGAGGGCAAGGCUGGUGCCAGCCGCCGCGGUAAAACCAGCUCUUCAAGUGGUCGGGAUAAUUAUUGGGCUUAAAGUGUCCGUAGCCGGUUUAGUAAGUUCCUGGUAAAAUCGGGUAGCUUAACUAUCUAUAUGCUAGGAAUACUGCUAUACUAGAGGGCGGGAGAGAUCUGAGGUACUACAGGGGUAGGGGUGAAAUCUUAUAAUCCUUGUAGGACCACCAGUGGCGAAGGCGUCAGACUGGAACGCGCCUGACGGUGAGGGACGAAAGCCAGGGGAGCGAACCGGAUUAGAUACCCGGGUAGUCCUGGCCGUAAACGAUGCAUACUAGGUGAUGGCACGGCCAUGAGCCGUGUCAGUGCCGUAGGGAAACCGUUAAGUGUGCCGCCUGGGAAGUACGGUCGCAAGGCUAAAACUUAAAGGAAUU